AUUGAACGCUGGCGGCAGGCUUAACACAUGCAAGUCGAGCGGGGUGAUGGUGCUUGCACUAUCACUUAGCGGCGGACGGGUGAGUAAUGCUUAGGAAUCUGCCUAUUAGUGGGGGACAACAUCUCGAAAGGGAUGCUAAUACCGCAUACGUCCUACGGGAGAAAGCAGGGGAUCACUUGUGACCUUGUGCUAAUAGAAGAGCCUAAGUCGGAUUAGCUAGUUGGUGGGGUAAAGGCCUUCCAAGGCGACGAUAUGUAGCGGGUCUGAGAGGAUGCUCCGCCACACUGGGACUGAGACACGGCCCGGACUCCUACGGGAGGCAGCAGUGGGGAAUAUUGGACAAUGGGGGGAACCCUGAUCCAGCCAUGCCGCGUGUGUGAAGAAGGCCUUAUGGUUGUAAAGCACUUUAAGCGAGGAGGAGGCUCUUUUGGUUAAUACCCAAGAUGAGUGGACGUUACUCGCAGAAUAAGCACCGGCUAACUCUGUGCCAGCCGCCGCCGUAA
This 503-nucleotide ribosomal RNA is filed under the name uncultured bacterium. RNAcentral's name for it is "partial 16S ribosomal RNA". It matches the Rfam family "Bacterial small subunit ribosomal RNA", at positions 30 to 523 of the family's 1533-position model. The record is from RNAcentral.